RNAcentral lists this ribosomal RNA (500 nucleotides) under uncultured bacterium. RNAcentral describes it as "partial 16S ribosomal RNA". It matches the Rfam family "Bacterial small subunit ribosomal RNA", at positions 30 to 523 of the family's 1533-position model. The record is from RNAcentral.
AUUGAACGCUGGCGGAAUGCUUUACACAUGCAAGUCGAACGGCAGCACGGACUUCGGUCUGGUGGCGAGUGGCGAACGGGUGAGUAAUGUAUCGGAACGUGCCCAGUCGUGGGGGAUAACGUAGUGAAAAUUACGCUAAUACCGCAUACGAUCUAUGGAUGAAAGCGGGGGAUCGCAAGACCUCGCGCGAUUGGAGCGGCCGAUAUCAGAUUAGGGAGUUGGUGGGGUAAGGGCCCCCCAAGCCAACGAUCUGUAGCUGGUCUGAGAGGACGACCAGCCACACUGGAACUGAGCCACGGUCCAGACUCCUACGGGAGGCAGCAGUGGGGAAUUUUGGACAAUGGGCGAAAGCCUGAUCCAGCCAUUCCGCGUGCAGGAUGAAGGCCCUCGGGUUGUAAACUGCUUUUGUACAGAACGAAAAGGUUUCUACUAAUACUAGGAGCUCAUGACGGUACUGUAAGAAUAAGCACCGGCUAACUACGUGCCAGCCGCCGCCGUAA